GACGAACGCUGGCGGCACGCUUAACACAUGCAAGUCGAACGAGAGAAGAGAAGCUUGCUUUUCUGAUCUAGUGGCGGACGGGUGAGUAACACGUGAGCAAUCUGCCUUUCAGAGGGGGAUACCGAUUGGAAACGAUCGUUAAUACCGCAUAAUAUAAUUGAACCGCAUGAUUUGAUUAUCAAAGAUUUAUCGCUGAAAGAUGAGCUCGCGUCUGAUUAGCUAGUUGGUAAGGUAACGGCUUACCAAGGCGACGAUCAGUAGCCGGACUGAGAGGUUGAUCGGCCACAUUGGGACUGAGACACGGCCCAGACUCCUACGGGAGGCGGCAGUGGGGAAUAUUGCACAAUGGAGGAAACUCUGAUGCAGCGAUGCCGCGUGAGGGAAGAAGGUUUUAGGAUUGUAAACCUCUGUCUUCAGGGACGAAAAAAGACGGUACCUGAGGAGGAAGCUCCGGCUAACUACGUGCCAGCAGCCGCGGUAAUACGUAGGGAGCGAGCGUUGUCCGGAAUUACUGGGUGUAAAGGGAGCGUAGGCGGGAUCGCAAGUCAGAUGUGAAAACUAUGGGCUUAACCCAUAAACUGCAUUUGAAACUGUGGUUCUUGAGUGAAGUAGAGGUAAGCGGAAUUCCUAGUGUAGCGGUGAAAUGCGUAGAUAUUAGGAGGAACAUCAGUGGCGAAGGCGGCUUACUGGGCUUUAACUGACGCUGAGGCUCGAAAGCGUGGGGAGCAAACAGGAUUAGAUACCCUGGUAGUCCACGCCGUAAACGAUGAUUAUAGGGUGGGGGGGGGGGGACCCCUUCCGUCCCGCAGCAAACGCAAUAAGUAAUCCACUGGGGGGGUACGACGGCAAGGUGGAAACUCAAAGGAAUAGACGGGGGCCCGCCCAAGCAGUGGAGUAUGUGGAUUAAUUUGAAGCAACGCGAAGAACCUUACCAGGUCUUGACAUCGUAUGCAUAGCUCAGAGAUGAGUGAAAUCUCUUCGGAGACAUAUAGACAGGUGGUGCAUGGUUGUCGUCAGCUCGUGUCGUGAGAUGUUGGGUUAAGUCCCGCAACGAGCGCAACCCUUACUGUUAGUUGCUACGCAAGAGCACUCUAGCAGGACUGCCGUUGACAAAACGGAGGAAGGUGGGGAUGACGUCAAAUCAUCAUGCCCCUUAUGACCUGGGCCUCACACGUACUACAAUGGCUGUCAACAGAGGGAAGCAAAGCCGCGAGGUGGAGCGAACCCCUAAAAGCAGUCUUAGUUCGGAUUGUAGGCUGCAACCCGCCUACAUGAAGUCGGAAUUGCUAGUAAUCGCAGAUCAGCAUGCUGCGGUGAAUAAGUUCCCGGGCCUUGUACA
Molecule: ribosomal RNA, 1339 nt
Filed under: uncultured bacterium
Lineage: Bacteria
Description: bacterial SSU rRNA
Rfam family: Bacterial small subunit ribosomal RNA
Source: RNAcentral